Molecule: ribosomal RNA, 608 nt
Filed under: uncultured bacterium
Lineage: Bacteria
Description: bacterial SSU rRNA
Rfam family: Bacterial small subunit ribosomal RNA
Source: RNAcentral
CGGGGAACCGCAAGACCUCAUAGUAUAGGAGCGGGGCUAUGUUUGAUUAGAUAGUUGGUGGGGUGAAGGCCCACCAAGGCGACGAUCAGUAGCUGGUCUGAGAGGACGAUCAGCCACGCUGGGAGUGAGACACGGCCCAGACUCCUACGGGAGGCAGCAGUGGGGAAUUUUGUACAAAGGGGGCAACCCUUAUCCAGCAAAAAAGCGUGUGUGAAGAAGGCCAUCGGGUUGUAAAACACUUUUGUCCGGAAAGAAAUCGCCCUUACUAAUAUUAGGUGUGGAUGGCGGUCCCGGAGAGAUAAGGGCCGGCUAAUUACGUUCCAGCAGCCGCGGUAAUACGUAGGGUCCAAUCGUUAAUGGGAAGUUCUGGGCGUAAAGCGUGCGCAGGCGGUUGUGCAAGAUCGAUGUGAAAUCCCCGGGGUUAACCUGGGAAUUGCAUUGGUGACUGCACGGUUAGAGUGUGUCAGAGGGGGGUAGAAUUCCACGUGUAGCAGUUAAAUGCGUAGAUAUGGGGAGGAAUACCGAUGGUGAAGGCAGCCCCAUGGGAUAACAAUGACGCUCAUGCACGAAAGCGUGGGGAGCAAACAGGAUUAGAUACCGUGGUAGUC